UUUCAAAUUCCCAUGAUAAUGUUUCAAUACUCCAUAUUAUAUUGUGAUUAACAAAAGAGAGCAUGAAUUUGAAAUAAAUAUUGUUCACCACUUGUAAAUGAUGAAGCACCUUGAUUUUUACAUGAUUAUGCAUAUGUGGAUGUGAUAUUGAUGACUUGCAAGUCGGGUAUGACGAUACCCUACAGAAUACGAUAUGCGAUUGAAUAAGAUGAAAUUUGAAUGCAUUGAUUUUACAUAAGAAAUGUGGAUGCCCGAAGAAGGCGUUUAAGACACAAGCGGCUCAU
RNAcentral lists this long non-coding RNA (284 nucleotides) under Capsicum annuum. RNAcentral's name for it is "long non-coding RNA (CANN_LNC004420)". Lineage: Eukaryota; Viridiplantae; Streptophyta; Magnoliopsida; Solanales; Solanaceae. The record is from RNAcentral.